AGUAACACGUGGAUAACCUACCUAUAAGACUGGGAUAACUUCGGGAAGCCGGAGCUAAUACCGGAUAAUAUUUUGAACCGCAUGGUUCAAAAGUAAAAGACGGUCUUGCUGUCACUUAUAGAUGGAUCCGCGCUGCAUUAGCUAGUUGGUAAGGUAACGGCUUACCAAGGCAACGAUGCAUAGCCGACCUGAGAGGGUGAUCGGCCACACUGGAACUGAGACACGGUCCAG
This 231-nucleotide ribosomal RNA is filed under the name uncultured Staphylococcus sp. Its description in RNAcentral is "partial 16S ribosomal RNA". It matches the Rfam family "Bacterial small subunit ribosomal RNA", at positions 109 to 334 of the family's 1533-position model. Lineage: Bacteria; Bacillati; Bacillota; Bacilli; Caryophanales; Staphylococcaceae. The record is from RNAcentral.